ACUUUUUUACUCGCUUUGGAAAACGUGGAGAUGAAGUUAUAACUCGGAAGAUUGAGAUGCCACAUGUGCUGCUGGAGACAAUUCUCUUCCUUGCAGAUUCAGCCCAGCUGUGGAUGAGUGACCUGGAGUCUGCUUGCAGGCAUUUUCUGUGGUGGACAUUUUCAGUGAGUGUAUUCUUUUUGAAGUUAUCGAGCAUUCUAGUUGUCAGAUGUCUCUCCUGAAAUGCCUAGUCAGUGUCCCAGUGCUGUAGAGAAAGCGACCCUGGAUUUUGCCUGUUGACCAAAUUUAUUGCCUUGGCUUGAUUUUACAAACCUGAGUUGU
This 321-nucleotide long non-coding RNA is filed under the name Cyanistes caeruleus (blue tit). RNAcentral describes it as "lncRNA (ENSCCEG00000019725.1)". Lineage: Eukaryota; Metazoa; Chordata; Aves; Passeriformes; Paridae. The record is from RNAcentral.